UACAGAGGUCUCAAGCGUUGUUCGGAUUCAUUGGGCGUAAAGGGUGUGUAGGCGGCGCCGUAAGUCGGGUGUGAAAUUUCGGAGCUUAACUCCGAAACUGCAUUCGAUACUGCGGUGCUUGAGGACUGGAGAGGAGACUGGAAUUCAUGGUGUAGCAGUGAAAUGCGUAGAGAUCAUGAGGAAGACCAGUGGCGAAGGCGGGGCUCUGGACAGUUCCUGACACUGAGACACGAAGGCCAGGGGAGCAAACGGG
RNAcentral lists this ribosomal RNA (253 nucleotides) under uncultured bacterium. Its description in RNAcentral is "partial 16S ribosomal RNA". It matches the Rfam family "Bacterial small subunit ribosomal RNA", at positions 524 to 776 of the family's 1533-position model. The record is from RNAcentral.